Molecule: long non-coding RNA, 421 nt
Organism: Pezoporus occidentalis (night parrot)
Lineage: Eukaryota; Metazoa; Chordata; Aves; Psittaciformes; Psittacidae
Exons: 2
Source: RefSeq, a predicted model, not a curated record
UCCAACCCCCCUGUCAUUGGCAGGGACACCUCACACUAAACCAUGUCAACCAAGGCUCUGUCCAGCCUGGCCUUGAACACUGCUGGGGAUGCAGCAUUCACAACUUCCUUGGACAACCUGUUCCAGUGCCUCACCACCCUUACAGUAAAGAACUUCUUCCUUUCUCAAGUCCAGUGAAGAAUUCCACAAUAUGAUGUUAUUUUGCAAGAAUGUAUUUAUAAAAAUUACUUCCUGAAGUAUGACCUGUCUUGGACUUUCUCAUGGAGAGUUGCCAUCUGUUGCCAGUACUCAUCAUUGGUGUUAAUCUCUACUGUUAGCAAUUAAAACUUUAGAUGCCAUGAGAGCUAUUUUGGCUGACAGUGAAAAGUACUUUUUUAUAAUAGCUGGAAUUUCACAAAAAAAAAAAAAAAAAAAAAGGAAA